GGGUGAGUAACACGUGGAUAACCUACCUAUAAGACUGGGAUAACUUCGGGAAACCGGAGCUAAUACCGGAUAACAUAUUGAACCGCAUGGUUCAAUAGUGAAAGGCGGCUUUGCUGUCACUUAUAGAUGGAUCCGCGCCGUAUUAGCUAGUUGGUAAGGUAACGGCUUACCAAGGCAACGAUACGUAGCCGACCUGAGAGGGUGAUCGGCCACACUGGAACUGAGACACGGUCCAGACUCCUACGGGAGGCAGCAGUAGGGAAUCUUCCGCAAUGGGCGAAAGCCUGACGGAGCAACGCCGCGUGAGUGAUGAAGGUCUUCGGAUCGUAAAACUCUGUUAUCAGGGAAGAACAAAUGUGUAAGUAACUGUGCACAUCUUGACGGUACCUGAUCAGAAAGCCACGGCUAACUACGUGCCAGCAGCCGCGGUAAUACGUAGGUGGCAAGCGUUAUCCGGAAUUAUUGGGCGUAAAGCGCGCGUAGGCGGUUUUUUAAGUCUGAUGUGAAAGCCCACGGCUCAACCGUGGAGGGUCAUUGGAAACUGGAAAACUUGAGUGCAGAAGAGGAAAGUGGAAUUCCAUGUGUAGCGGUGAAAUGCGCAGAGAUAUGGAGGGAACACCAGUGGCGAAGGCGACUUUCUGGUCUGUAACUGAC
Molecule: ribosomal RNA, 654 nt
Filed under: Staphylococcus sp.
Lineage: Bacteria; Bacillati; Bacillota; Bacilli; Caryophanales; Staphylococcaceae
Description: bacterial SSU rRNA
Rfam family: Bacterial small subunit ribosomal RNA
Source: RNAcentral